RNAcentral lists this ribosomal RNA (484 nucleotides) under uncultured bacterium. RNAcentral describes it as "partial 16S ribosomal RNA". It matches the Rfam family "Bacterial small subunit ribosomal RNA", at positions 30 to 507 of the family's 1533-position model. The record is from RNAcentral.
AUUGAACGCUGGCGGCAGGCCUAACACAUGCAAGUCGAGCGUGUGAAGGGGGCUUUCUCCUGUCUGCAGCGGCCGACGGGGGAGUAAUGCCUAGGAAUCUGCCUGCCAUUGAGGGAUGACGUCCGUUAGCGGGCGCUAAUACCUCAUACGUCCUGAUUUUGAAACGCGGGGUUCUUUGGACCACACGCUAUUUGAUGACCCUAGGUCGUAUUAGCGAGUUGGUUGGGUAAAGGCCUACCAAGGCGAUGAUCCGUAACUGGUCUGAGAGGGUGAUCAGUCACACUGGAACUGAGACACGGUCCAGACUCCUACGGGAGGCAGCAGUGGGGAAUAUUGGACAAUGGGCGAAAGCCUGAUGCAGCAAUGCCGCGUGUGUGAAGAAGGUCUUCGGAUUGUAAAGCACUUUAAUUUGGGAGGAAGGGCAGUAAAUUAAAACCUUGCUGUUUUGACGGUACCUACAGAGAAAGCAACGGCUAACUACGUG